GACGAAGGGGGCUAGCGUUGUUCGGAAUUACUGGGCGUAAAGCGCGUGUAGGCGGUUGCCCAAGUCGGGUGUGAAAGCCUUGAGCUCAACUCAAGAAAUGCACUCGGUACUGGGUGACUAGAGGACCGGAGAGGAUAGUGGAAUUCCCAGUGUAGUGGUGAAAUACGUAGAGAUUGGGAAGAACACCAGUGGCGAAGGCGGCUCACUGGCCCGAUACUGACGCUGAGGCACGAAAGCGUGGGGAGCAAACAGG
RNAcentral lists this ribosomal RNA (253 nucleotides) under uncultured bacterium. RNAcentral describes it as "partial 16S ribosomal RNA". It matches the Rfam family "Bacterial small subunit ribosomal RNA", at positions 524 to 776 of the family's 1533-position model. The record is from RNAcentral.